GCGGCAGUUUCGGACCGAUCGCUGGCGGAAGUGGUGGUGCUUGGGCUCCGCUGGGACUGUGGACCCCGCCCUGUGGGGACCGAGGUGCCACGGCUGGGCUGGGUGAGCCCAGACCUAUGACGUUGGCGUGCAGGUCACCCGAGGGGGGGGACCCUGCGACGUGCCCGCCCUCUCUAGACUCCAUCCACAGCCCCGGGGGCAGGCGCCGGGGAUCCCAGAAGCAAGUAACAGUCGAGACCGCGGCCGGCGUGUUUCGAGCGCCUACAACGUGCCAAGCGCUGGGCUUGGUUCUGUGAUUUAACUGCUGUGAGGCGCUUAGCCCCGGUUUUACAGACCCUGAAACUGAGCCUCUCGAGAUGUUUUGAGAUUGUGAGACGUGGAAUAACUGGAGCAAAACAGUGUAGAGGAAAGCGUAUGGGACUUGACCUUCGUUCGAAGUAGCUUCUGGUGAAGCAGGACCAGUAAAUUGCAGUGAAGAGUUCCAUCAGAAAGGAAAUGAAGAAAGAUACCCAGGAGUUGGGGGCCUAUCACCCUGACGAAAUCCUGCUGGGUGGGCCAUGUGAGGUCCCUCUGCCCUUGAUGGAAUCCUGAUUUUGCUACAAAGGAGGAAUGCUUUAUCCAGGACUUCUUUUGAGAGACUGGAUACACAGAUGGACAAUGGCCAAGCCAUAUAUGAGAAUAGAACUCUGACCCACAAUCCGCAUGAGCCACCCAGGAAACGAACCCCCUUAGGCCUGAUCAAGAGCCCAGGAAGCCAGCCUGCUGUCCAUCAGACGUGCUGGAAACUGCUUUGAUGUCUCUAGCAACAAGGCAGGAGGCACAGCAAUACCUUCUGUGACAAUCAGCCCAGGAUGGCUGGGACUGGAUUCUGCACUGCCAGCUUCCCUAAUUUUUGUCCCUGUUUCUAAUUUAGGACCAACAAGAAAAAACCAAAUAUGCUCCCUUAACAAUUGCAUGGAACACCCCGCUUCUAGUAGCUCACUUCCUGCUCUUCAGGCCCACAACUUCCAAUCAGGGCACACCUGAGGUCUCCCCAACCUCCCCAUAAAGCUCUCCCACUCUGCUAACUGCUUUUCCCCCUCCCUUUCUUUUCUUUGUCUUUUUUCUUUUUUUCUAGCUGUGGCAUGCAGCAGCUUGAUGUGGGAUCUCAGUUCCCAGACCAGGGAUUGAACCUGGGCCAUAGUGGUGAAAGCACUGAAUCCAAACCACUAGGCCAUCAGGAGUGGUCUUUAUUUCCAUGCUUUCCGUCCACUUCUUUGAUUACAACAGACGUGACCUUCCUUGGGGGCUAGAGAGCCUUCUCAUCCACCACAGGCUCACCUCGGCUUGUACCUGAGAAAAGACAGCCCUCCGCCCACCCACCUGUGUGGAGGGGCCCAGCUUGCGGGGUGCCUUCCCGAAGGUCCCUAGAACAAAGAAUCCCUCGCCUUCCACAGCCUGUGGGUUUUCUACAGGCCAAGACACUCAUCAGCCGCUCAGGCUGCCUGGAAGCCAAACCCUAAGGUGCUGGGUUUCGUGUACAGGUGGUUGACUGUGGUGGGAUCUUGGGAUCAGCACCUGUGGGAAGUGGAGGAGGCAAACGUGGACAAAGGGAGAAGCUGAGGAGUUCCCAUCGUGGCUCAGUGGUUAACGAACCUGACUAGGAACCAUGAAGUUGCGGGUUCGAUCCCUGGCCUUGCUCAAUGGGUUAAGGAUCUGGUGUUGCUGUGAGCUGUGGUGUAGGUCGCAGAUGUGGCUCAGAUCUUGGGUUGCUGUGGCUGUGGUCUAGGACAGCAGCUACAGCUCUGAUUAGACCCCUAGCCUGGGAAC
This 1809-nucleotide transfer RNA is filed under the name Sus scrofa (pig). RNAcentral describes it as "lncRNA (ENSSSCG00035059425.1, ENSSSCG00050078875.1, ENSSSCG00055029428.1)". Lineage: Eukaryota; Metazoa; Chordata; Mammalia; Artiodactyla; Suidae. The record is from RNAcentral.